RNAcentral lists this non-coding RNA (29 nucleotides) under Mus musculus (house mouse). The record is from RNAcentral. Lineage: Eukaryota; Metazoa; Chordata; Mammalia; Rodentia; Muridae.
UAGAAUAGUCAUGUGACUGUUGAAUUAGG